RNAcentral lists this ribosomal RNA (519 nucleotides) under uncultured eukaryote. Its description in RNAcentral is "SSU rRNA". It matches the Rfam family "Eukaryotic small subunit ribosomal RNA", at positions 1161 to 1701 of the family's 1831-position model. The record is from RNAcentral.
AGGGCACCACCAGGAGUGGAGCCUGCGGCUUAAUUUGACUCAACACGGGAAAUCUCACCAGGCCCGGACACCGGAAGGAUUGACAGAUUGAGAGCUCUUUCUUGAUUCGGUGGGUGGUGGUGCAUGGCCGUUCUUAGUUGGUGGAGCGAUUUGUCUGGUUAAUUCCGAUAACGAACGAGACUCCGGCCUACUAACUAGAUGGAGGGUCCCUUCGUGGGUUCUUCACUGCUUCUUAGAGGGACGGGCGGCGUUUAGCCGCACGAGAUUGAGCAAUAACAGGUCUGUGAUGCCCUUAGAUGUUCUGGGCUGCACGCGCGCUACACUGAAGGGAUCAGCGUGUCCUCCCCGCUCUGAAAAGAGUGGGUAACCCGUUGAAACUCCUUCGUGAUGGGGAUCGGAGAUUGUAAUUAUUCUCCAUGAACGAGGAAUUCCCAGUAGGCGCGAGUCAUCAGCUUGCGUCGAUUACGUCCCUGCCCUUUGUACACACCGCCCGUCGCUACUACCGAUCGAGUGAUUUAG